CCUCAGAGAAAAAAAUUAAUAAAUGUAACAUAAAAGAGUUGCCAAUUGCGAGACAAAAUUAUUAAUUGUCCAAUACUUUUGCACGUGGAAAGUCACGUGUGCACACUGCCAAAGUUGGCAAUGGCAAUUGGCAUGCCCACUUUAGUUGGACGGACGCCGUGACUUGCUCCACGGCUCCACCCUCUUUCUCGGCCCCGCAUUUAACGCCACCACUUUUGGACCCCUUGGUGGUCACCAGUGUCAUUGAAACCUAGCGCUAUCGCGAUUCCCACGGAC
RNAcentral lists this long non-coding RNA (276 nucleotides) under Elaeis guineensis (African oil palm). Its description in RNAcentral is "long non-coding RNA (EGUI_LNC015501)". The record is from RNAcentral. Lineage: Eukaryota; Viridiplantae; Streptophyta; Magnoliopsida; Arecales; Arecaceae.